UACGUAGGGUGCAAGCGUUUGUCCGGAAUUAUUGGGCGUAAAGAGCUCGUAGGCGGUUCGUCGCGUCGGCUGUGAAAACCUGAGGCUCAACCUCAGGCCUGCAGUCGAUACGGGCGGACUUGAGUACUGCAGGGGAGACUGGAAUUCCUGGUGUAGCGGUGAAAUGCGCAGAUAUCAGGAGGAACACCGGUGGCGAAGGCGGGUCUCUGGGCGAGUAACUGACGC
Molecule: ribosomal RNA, 225 nt
Filed under: uncultured bacterium
Lineage: Bacteria
Description: partial 16S ribosomal RNA
Rfam family: Bacterial small subunit ribosomal RNA
Source: RNAcentral